GCCGGUGUGGUGGAAUGGUAGACACCAGGGACUUAAAAUCCCUUGGCCGCAAGACCGUGCCCGUUCGAGUCGGGUCACCGGCACCA
This 86-nucleotide transfer RNA is filed under the name Eubacteriales bacterium. RNAcentral describes it as "tRNA-Leu". It matches the Rfam family "tRNA". Rfam says of the family: Transfer RNA (tRNA) molecules are approximately 80 nucleotides in length. The record is from RNAcentral. Lineage: Bacteria; Bacillati; Bacillota; Clostridia; Eubacteriales. RNAcentral also lists the same sequence under 1 other name.